AGAACGGACGCUGGCGGCAUGCCUAAUACAUGCAAGUCGAACGAACUCUUCGGAGUUAGUGGCGCACGGGUGCGUAACGCGUGGGAAUCUGCCCCUUGGUUCGGAAUAACAGUUGGAAACGACUGCUAAUACCGGAUGAUGACGAAAGUCCAAAGAUUUAUCGCCAAGGGAUGAGCCCGCGUAGGAUUAGCUAGUUGGUGAGGUAAAGGCUCACCAAGGCAACGAUCCUUAGCUGGUCUGAGAGGAUGAUCAGCCACACUGGGACUGAGACACGGCCCAGACUCCUACGGGAGCAGCAGUAGGGAAUAUUGGACAAUGGGCGAAAGCCUAGACCCAGCAAUGCCGCGUGAGUGAGUGAAGGUCCUUAAGGGUUAGUAAAGUCCUUACGUUUUAACCCGGAGUAUAGAUUAAUGAACAGUAGUCGGGAAGAACGUAACGCCCCGGUACUAACCGUCCGUGCCAGCAGCCGC
This 470-nucleotide ribosomal RNA is filed under the name uncultured soil bacterium. RNAcentral describes it as "bacterial SSU rRNA". It matches the Rfam family "Bacterial small subunit ribosomal RNA", at positions 26 to 518 of the family's 1533-position model. The record is from RNAcentral.